RNAcentral lists this ribosomal RNA (253 nucleotides) under uncultured bacterium. Its description in RNAcentral is "partial 16S ribosomal RNA". It matches the Rfam family "Bacterial small subunit ribosomal RNA", at positions 524 to 776 of the family's 1533-position model. The record is from RNAcentral.
UACGGAGGGUGCAAGCGUUAUCCGGAUUUACUGGGUUUAAAGGGUGUGUAGGCGGGCUAUUAAGUCAGUGGUGAAAUCUCCGGGCUCAACCUGGAAACUGCCAUUGAUACUAUUAGUCUUGAAUUUUGUUGAGGUAGGCGGAAUAAGUCAUGUAGCGGUGAAAUGCAUAGAUAUGACUUAGAACACCAAUUGCGAAGGCAGCUUACUAAGCAAAUAUUGACGCUGAGGCACGAAAGCGUGGGGAUCAAACAGG